Molecule: non-coding RNA, 922 nt
Organism: Anas platyrhynchos (mallard)
Lineage: Eukaryota; Metazoa; Chordata; Aves; Anseriformes; Anatidae
Source: RefSeq, a predicted model, not a curated record
UAUAUAAAUAGUCAUGCAAUUAUGGAAAAUAACAUUUCACCGGUGUGUCCUUUUCUUUAAAACCCAACAAGAAGCUUAUCCCAUUAACAUCAUAUUGCACAAAGUUCUUGUUAUCAUUUACACAUAGAUAGGAGUGUUGCUCUAUGGCUGAGCACCAGCCUGGAAGGUUUUUACUGCUCCAGAGGACUCCAAGCAAGUCAUUAGCUAUUCCACAGCUGUUCUUCAUAUGUGAAAUAAAGCAGUGGCCAAAGAGACUCAGGGGCUGCUUUUAAAAGUGAAGGAAGAUGGGGUGUUUGACUGUUUAUGCUUUGGAAAUCCCUGUCAUGCUUUGUGGAGUUUUGAUGGUGAAAUACCCUCAGUAGUGAUUACUUUGGUUGCUGUUAAUGUUCCAGCUAAUGGUAACGGCUUCUGAACAGAGGGAAAAAGAUGAAUUUCCUGCUCUAAACUGGCCACCUCUCUUCCUAGAGGGCUGGAAAGAAUGUCCAACUCUUCCUCUCCAUUGAGACUGAUAGCAAAACAUGGAUGUGUUUAAACCUCUGUAAUGCAUGCUGCACAUCUGAUCACAAUCAUAUCAGCUUGGGAAGCUCACUUCAGUCAAGACAGACAGGAAGCAUUGAAGGCUUUUGCUGCUAUACUUCAAUAAAAUACUUUCAAAUUGAUUUUGUUGUUGUAGUUAUUGUUGUUGCAAGAGGAUUGUUUCAAGAGAGAUAACAAGUUUAAAAAAAAUAAUAAUAAUGGUCAAGUGUUUAGCUUCCUGGGGUGAAAACAUUAAAAGCUGAUGUAUAUUUUUGUGUUAAUAACAGGUACAAGAAGCACUGUUGACUGUACUUUCUGUACCAAAUAAAAUCUUAAAAAUAAAUCACAAGAACAGAAGAAAACAUAAUAUGAUUUUCUAUAACAGAAAUAAAAACUUUUUUUCUUC